This 7239-nucleotide long non-coding RNA is filed under the name Solanum tuberosum (potato). RNAcentral's name for it is "long non-coding RNA (STUB_LNC002185)". The record is from RNAcentral. Lineage: Eukaryota; Viridiplantae; Streptophyta; Magnoliopsida; Solanales; Solanaceae.
UUUUUUCGUUUUUUUUUGGGUAAGGUUUACGUCUAUUUCUACCAAAUUUGGGUCUCCAUACGUUGUCAUUUUUAAAUAGUGUUUUUUUUGUUUCCUUUUCGUUCAUAAUUUUAAUUUGGAAUAAUAAAUCAACGACAAAAUCCGAGUUGAUUAAACUACCUUUGUUCAAAUAUAUCAAUCUUCUAUAUAUUGUAGUUGACAAGAAUGUGCAAGUUUGACCAUUUGACUUGAAUAUAGGCGGUAAAUAUAGCCGCGAGGGGUUAAAGACAAUUGGCGAAAUGAAAGUCACUCAAAAACAAAGAGCGAUAACAAGGCAGUAUCGACAUAGAUUUAAAGAUAUUUUGUCCUGUUUUUUUCAGUUAUUUGAUUUAGUGGACUAUAAUAAACUACCGCGUUGUUGCACUAUUAAGCAUGUUCCUCUUGUUCGCAAGAAUGGGAUAGUGCAGAGGAUAAAGAAGAAGAGCAUUGCUAUGGAUGUAGCAGUGAUGAAGAAAUUUGACAUCUCCGUCAUAAUUAUUACAUGUUCAAGAUAAUUGGAUUAGUAUAUAUAUAUACUAGACAUCGGAGCCCGUGCUAGCACGACCCAAUAUAUAUCAUUUUUUAUUUCAAUUUAUGUGACAAGGACAAAAUUAAAGAGUUAGUCAAACUUUAAUAUUAAUUUAAAAUAGUUUAAAUUUUUAAUUAUUGUUAACUAUGGUAAAAAAAAAUUUAUGUCUUUUAACAUUCUAAAUUGUCAAUUAUUGUUGUAUUAUUUAUGUAAGGUAUUUAUUACAUUCUCUAAGCUAUCAACCCCAAUUUAACCUUUGAACUCAUUGAUGUUCAUUAAAACGUGUCAAAAUGUAUUUAUUAUGCAUUUAUUAAUGUCAUUCAAAAUGCAUUUAUUUAUUCUACCCAUAGCUUAUUGGAACUCAAUGAUUAUCAAUUAUUUGAAAAUGGAUGUUCAUUGCAUGUUGAUUGUGGAGUUGUUACAAACUAUACUUAUAUGUUUAUUUUAUAAUUUGAAAAUUAGAUUCAAACAACUCUUUUUAUGAUAUAUAUAAAUAACAUAAAAUCUAAAAUAUACUAAUAUAAUAAACUAAAACUUCACACAUAAUAUAUUGUUCGAACUAUAUUAUUGCAAGUAUUUUUUUGUCAUUAAAUUAGCUUAGAAGACAAAUCUUUCAUUAUAAAAACGGAUGAAGUAAUGAAAAGAGGAGACGAUGCGGCUCCUCUCAAGUAGUAGCUUUUGGAACGAAUGUCUAGACAAUUACACAAUCCGCUUCAUUAAAUGAUCUGAUUUUUGGAAUAACUUUCAAUACACUGUCAAUACAAUUUAUUUCCAUUCAUUGUUACACAGUGUAAUCUGCCCGCAAAAUAGUACAUCACUACACAAAACGAAAAGUCACAAUUUGUCACUACUUAAAAGGGUUUCAAACUCUUCAUUUCACUAUUAUUGCCAAACACCGAAAAGUUCAUUUUGAAUUUAAACUUUUUUGAUUCCGAAAAUUUGCCUUUAAUCAAAAAAAUGAAGAGAGCGAAAAUUUCACUGAUGUGUGUUACAUUUAAUUUUGUUUCCGUUUGUAUUCGACUCCUUAAUUCAUUUUAAUUUACAGAUGUGUGUUUAAUUUAAUUAUUUUUUUCAGUAGAACUAUUUAAAAAAUAUAUAAAUCCAGAUGCUGCCCUAAAACUAAUUCACAAAGCUUCAAAAGGAGGAUACGGCGCUGCAAAAUAUGCUUUUGGCAUAAUAUCUAUCUUCAUAGGCGGUGUAUAUGAAGAUCAAGGGGUAAAGACAAUUGGUAAAUAAGAUUGUAAUAGUUUAUAUUUAAAUCUUCUUGACAAAAAUUGAAGAUUUUUGAGUAUUCCAAGUUGAAUCCUUAUGAUGAAAAUAAACCUAAAGGAUAUAAUAUUAAAUGAGUUAUAUGUAAUGAUAAAAGUUAUAAAAUAAAAAAUGAUACAUUCAUGAUUAUAUGAAUUAAAAAAUGUAGGGAUUUUAUUACAUUAAGUUAUCUAGCCGAAUUAUUCCUAUGAAUUCAAUGAUUUUCAUUAAAUGUGGCAAAAUGUAUUUAUUUUGCAUUUAUUAAUGUGAUAAAAAAAUCUAUUUUUUUUAUUCUUCCCAUAGAUCAGACAUUGGAACUUAAUGAUCAUUAAGAGUUCCUUAUCAUUAAUUGAAAAUUGAUGUUCAUUCCAUGUGGAAUGUGAUUUUGUGAUAGCACAUCCUAUAAAAUAAUUUGUAGGGUUAAAAGAGAUACUUAUAUGUUUAUUUUGUAUUUUAGAUACAAACAACUUCACACAUAAUAUUUGUCAUUGAAUUAACUUAGAAGAUAAAUCUUUCAAUAAAAGAGUCGGUCAAUAAAAAUAUUCAAUAAUGGAAAUAGAAGAGAGUAGCUUUUUGAAACGAAUACCUAGACAACUACUUCUCACAAUCUCCUUCAUUAAAUGAUCUGAUUUAUGGAACAACUUCCGAAGCACUCUCAAUACCAUUCAUCUCAACUGAUAAGUCACAACUCUUCAAACUUGAAAUUCUUUGAAUCCGAAAAUCUAACUUGAGUGUUUGUCUUCCCUAAGUUAAUAGCUUGUACAUAAAGUUUCCACACACUUCCCAAAGACAGCUAGCUACUCCUUCUACGAGAGAGUUGAUAUUCAUUAAGAAGCGUAAAUAUAGUUCUUUUCGUAAUUAUAAACGAAUGCUAUUGCAGCGCAAAUGUUUAAAGCAAGAUUAAACGUUUAGUCAAUUAGUCAUGAGUUCGAGUCUAGGUUAGGUCCCCAUAUUUAUGUUAUUAUUUUUGCGUCGCUUCCCGUUCAUUUUAUUUUAAUUUUCGACUCAAAGUUUUUGAUUACAUUUAUUAUCUAUGAAAUUAAUAAUUAAAGGUCUGAAAUAACUUAUAUCAUAAUAAAUUUUGAUAAUGCAUUAAUUUAAUUAUAUUUUAAAUUAUUAUCUUCCAAUAAAAUUGAUCUUAAAAAAGAUGAGUGUAAGAAAUUCAACUUAUCAAAUCAAAUCUUGUCAAAAUUCUAGGUGUACUCAAGAACUUAUCUUAGACUUGAAAAAAUAAUAAAACUAUUCCGUCGAUUCACCUUUGUUAUAUUUACUACUACAAAUUUUUUAUAUAAGAAUAAGUUUAUUUUCAAUAAUAAUAAUAACUAAGGGUCUGAAAAUUUUUAUAUCAUAGAAUAUUUUGAUGAUUAAAUUAAUUAAUUAAAUUUUAUAUUCUUACCUUUCGAUAAAAAAUCUUAAUUAAUGGAUUUGCCUUACAAAGGAAGAGUGCAAGAAAAUUCAAAUUUUGUCAACUUCCUAGCCUCUAGGUGUACUCAAGUACUUCUUUUAGGUUUGAACAACUAAUUCAUCAUCACUAUGCAAAUAAUGUUCUGGCCCAUCGUAUGCAUCAUCGGAAUCUUCAUGAUGUUCAUCAUUUUGGGACAACAAACUAUCAUCCUCCUCUAACCCCAAAACAUUAUUCAAUAAAUCGUUUAAUUGGCUAUUCUGACUAGUCGAUUCCAUUUGUUAAAAUUAUAUAAAACCAACAACAAAAUAAAUUCUUGAUCAACAAAUUAAAAGAAGAAAGGAUGAGAGUGAAGAGUGAUAGAUGUAGGAGAGGUGGUGGAAUGUGAUAUAAAAAGUAAAGUAAGAGAGAGAGCAAAUAAUUAUUAAAAUGUUAAAGGUGAUUUUCAUUUUUGGAGGGAAAUAUAAGAGGUUUUGGAGCAAAAGAGGCAUUUUCGUCAUUUAUCCGUGUCUUGUCAAUUAAUGCAAAAAUUUUGACUGACCAUCGGCUCCACUUAUAUUGUGCCACGUGGAAGUGUUGGGUCCCAUUUCAGAAAAUGAUUUUCUCUCUCUUCUUAAACGUUUUUUUUCAUCUUUCCUACUUUUUUUUUACUUCUUUUUCAUUGACUUUUCUUUUCAAAUUAAUGUUUCAAAUUUCUCUAUUUCCAUACUUGUAUAAUUUUAUUCAUGGAAAAUAUAAAAAUAUGAAAUCCAAAAAGAAAAUAUUCAUUCAAUUUCUAACAUUUUAAAAUUAAUUAUUUAUAUUACUAAAAAUAGUUAGAUAAAAUUAUUUGUUAAUUUACAAAAUAUAAUUAAUUACAAUUUUUUUUUAUUAUAACAUUUUUUUUCUUUUUGUAAGUGUAAAUAAAAUUUAUAAAUUUUAAAUUACAUAAGUUUUUAUACUAAUUUCAUGAAAUUAAAAAAACGGACAGCAUCCAUAAAUACCUAUAUAAAUACAUAUUCUUUCCGUUAAUUUAUACGAUAUCUUAUUUUUGAAAUUCAAGCUAGGUGAAAUUUUUCAUCACUUUAACCUUUUUUAUUUUUCUUUCUAUUUAAUUUUUGUGGACUUCUCAAAAAUAUACGAUACUAUAAAAAUUUUAUAGGGUACAUCAUAUAGGAUCCUUCAAAAAAAACAAAUUACGCAUUAUCUAAGAAUUUAAUCAUUUUAAAGAAAUAUGAUAAAUUAUUUCCAAUGAUUUUAUUAUUUAACGACGAUAUAUUAAGAUGUCUUGUUAAUAUUUGAUUUAAAUAAAAAUAAUCAAUAAAAUUACGAGUCAUAUCAACAAGAAAAAGCACUAUCAACAAUAUCAAAAUAAAACUAUAAAUUAAACUACGAAGUAAAUUGAAUAAAAUUUUAUUAUUAUAAAGAGAAACACAUGAAUACUAACAAAGAGAACAAUUUUUUUUUCCAGUUUUGAAGAGGGUUAUACGUAAAAUCAUUACGGUCCAUUUAUUAAUAAAAUAAUAGAAUGUUAAAAUUUAUCCUAAAAAAUCAAUGUCUAUUAUUACUUAAAUAAUUUUUAAUUUUAUAUUACUUUGGUAAAUAUGAUUGUAAAAGUUUAUAUUUGAAUUGCUUCACAAAAAUUGAAGAUUUUUCACUAUUAUAAGUCGAAUCAUUAUGAUGAAAUAAAUGUAAUAGAUAUAGUAUUAUAUGAGUUAUGCUCUCUCAUAAAUACAAGUCAGUUGAAUGCGAUUAUAUAAGCAUAAUCAAUUUUCCCUUCACGAGUAGUGCUAAAUGGCAAGACACUUUUUUGGCAUGAAUUGGCAGGACACGACGAAAUGACCAAAUAGCCCUUACGUGUGUUCAAAAAUGAUUAUUUGAUACGAGUAAAUUUGUCACUAGAUAAUUGGUCUCUAACAAUUGUUAGUCGAAAAAUAAAAGAAAAAUAAAUAAAAUUUGUGAAUGGACGAGAAAUAAAUGACUAAUUUUUAUAAGGUAAGAAAAUAUAGUUCAAUUAAUUAAUUUAAUCAUUAAUAUUUUCAAUGUUACGUAAUAAUUAUUUGAGGCAUUUAAAAUACAAAUUUCAUGAAAAAUAAAUUUUAUUCUUAUAUCAAAAUGUAAAUAACGUGAAAUGAUAGAAUGAAUUAGUUGUUCAAACCUAAAAGAAGUACUUGAGUACACCUAGAGGCUAAGAAGUUGACAAAAGUUGAAUUUUUUUGCACUCUUCCUUUGUAAGGCAAAUCCAUUAAUUAAGAUUUUUUAUCGGAAGGUAAGAAUAUAAAAUUUAAUCAAAAACUUUGAGUUGAAAAUUAAAAUAAAAUGAACGGAAGCGACGCAAAAAUAAUAACAUAAAUAUGGGGACCUAACCUAGACUCGAACUCAUGACUAAUUGACUCAACGUUUAAUCUUGCUUUAAACAUUUGCGCUGCAAUAGCAUUCGUUUAUAAUUACGAAAAGAACUAUAUAAAAUGUUACGUGUGUUCAAAAAUGAUUAUUUGAUACGAGUAAAUUUGUCACUAGAUAAUUGGUCUCUAACAAUUGUUAGUCGAAAAAUAAAAAUAAAAAUAAAAAAAUCUGUGAAUGGACGAGAAAUAAAUGACUAAUUUUUAUAAGGUAAGAAAAUAUAGUUCGAUUAAUUAAUUUAAUCAUUAAUAUUUUCAAUGUUACGUAAUAAUUAUUUGAGGCGUUUAAAAUACAAAUUUCAUGAAAAAUAAAUUUUAUUCUUAUAUCAAAAGGUAAAUAACGUGAAAUGACGGAAUGAAUUAGUUGUUAAAACCUAAAAGAAGUACUUGAGUACACCUAGAGGCUAGGAAGUUGACAAAAUUUGAAUUGAUUAGUUGAAUUUUCUUGCACUCUUCCUUGUAAGGCAAAUCCAUUAAUUAAGAUCUUUUUUCGGAAGGUAAGAAUAUAAAAUUUAAUUAAUUAAUUAAUUUAAUCAUCAAAAUAUUCUAUGAUAUAAAAAUUUUCAGACCCUUAGUUAUUAUUAUUAUUGAAAAUAAACUUAUUCUUAUAUAAAAAAUUUGUAGUAGUAAAUAUAACAAAGGCGAAUCGACGGAAUAAUUUUAUUAUUUUUUCAAGUCUAAGAUAAGUUCUUGAGUACACCUAGAAUUUUGACAAGAUUUGAUUUGAUAAGUUGAAUUUCUUACACUCAUCUUUUUUAAGAUCAAUUUUAUUGGAAGAUAAUAAUUUAAAAUAUAAUUAAAUUAAUGCAUUAUCAAAAUUUAUUAUGAUAUAAGUUAUUUCAGACCUUUAAUUAUUAAUUUCAUAGAUAAUAAAUGUAAUCAAAAACUUUGAGUCGAAAAUUAAAAUAAAAUGAACGGGAAGCGACGCAAAAAUAAUAACAUAAAUAUGGGGACCUAACCUAGACUCGAACUCAUGACUAAUUGACUAAACGUUUAAUCUUGCUUUAAACAUUUGCGCUGCAACAACAUUCGUUUAUAAUUACGAAAAGAACUAUAUUUACGCUUCUUAAUGAAUAUCAACUCUCUCAUAGAAGGAGUAGCCAACUGUCUUUGGGAAGUGUGUGGAAACUUUAUGUACAAGCUAUUAACUUAGGGAAGACAAACACUCAAGUUAGAUUUUCGGAUUCAAAGAAUUUCAAGUUUGAAGAGUAUCGACAUAGAUUUAAAGAUAUUUUGUCCUAUUUUUUCAGUUAUUUGAUUUAGUGGACUAUAAUAAACUACCGCGUUGUUGCACUAUUAAGCAUGUUCCUCUUGUUCGCAAGAAUGGGCUUGUUAUCGCUCUUUGUUUUUGAGUGACUUUCAUUUCGCCAAUUGUCUUUAACCCCUCGCGGCUAUAUUUACCGCCUAUAUUCAAGUCAAAUGGUCAAACUUGCACAUUCUUGUCAACUACAAUAUAUAGAAGAUUGAUAUAUUUGAACAAAGGUAGUUUAAUCAACUCGGAUUUGUCGUUGAUUUAUUAUUCCAAAUUAAAAUUAUGAACGAAAAGGAAACAAAAAAACACUAUUUAAAAUGACAACGUAUGGAGACCCAAAUUUGGUAGAAAUAGACGUAAACCUUACCCAAAAAAAAAUGAAAAAACUCAAUAAAGAAUGAAAUUAAAG